CGAGAAAAUGACUUUUUCAUGCUGGUAUUAAGGCUAUUAAGCAAUGAAGCCGACAUGUGCGACGAUUGCUUUGGCAUAGAUUUUAAAGAAAAUGAAGGGAAGAACUUAUCUUCGGGGGCCUGAAACUUUGAAAUCAUCGAAACAUUAUUUUUGGCAGCAGUACUUGAAUGCCUUAACAUAGGAAAUUGUGUCAAGCAACUGAAAACUCUUUGAUAAGACAGCCCA
Molecule: non-coding RNA, 225 nt
Organism: Schizosaccharomyces pombe (fission yeast)
Lineage: Eukaryota; Fungi; Ascomycota; Schizosaccharomycetes; Schizosaccharomycetales; Schizosaccharomycetaceae
Source: the annotation of a GenBank genome assembly